AUUGUCAGCCAACAUAACAUGUAAGGUAACUUAUUUGUAAAGUCAUUACUUUAUUACAUUGAGUAGCAAGCUACCACGAGGACGCGCUCUUUCGACUCUGCGGCUUGAGCAUGCUUUUGGUGCACUGUCAAUAGCACGCCGGACUUCAGGCAAGAAGGUUGAGGGUUUGAAAACUGCUCGCUUCAUUUGAAGUCGUGCACAAUUAUCAGUUUAUUAUUUGGUUUAUAUUGCCCAUUCACUGUCAGUUAGAGACAGUAGUGUAUUGGGACCCAAAAUCAUAAAUCAGUGCUCUAACUCCCCUUUGGUCGUUAAGGCAAAUCUGGUCUGUGAUAGGACAGGGUUUUUUCCACACCUAGCUCAGCUAUUAGGCUAUUCUUUAGUAAAGGUUGAAUAGUCUAUUGUUCAGCUAUUAGCCUCCUUCCCCAACUUGCAACAAAUGGAUGUCUUUUUGUUGAGCAAAACUUUAUUUUCAAUCAAAAAUAAUUGUUCUGAAAGCAAAAAUGAGUCUUCAAAGUAAAACAAAUGUUUUGCAAUCAAAUAUUUUGUAAUAGAGUGCAAAACUUUAUGCAUUUUAUUCCCCAAUUUAUUUGAAAACAAAACUCAAAUUUAAUUUUGCUAUCAACCACCCUCCAUUUUGGCCAUUUUUUGAGUGUCAGUUUGGCUACAACCAAUACUGUUCAGCCUUUCUUCCUGACAAAAAGGAAGUCAUAGCGGACACCUACGAAGAAGGACUGUGCGAUGAGGUAAGCAGCACUCAGGUAAGCAGCACUGGGCAUUCUUCCGUCCAACUUUUACAUAGGUCCUACGAUUCAAUGUCGGUUCAUAACAUUGUACUAUAUUACAUACAUACAUACAUACCGUAGAAUGAUAAAUCAUGCAAUUAUUAUUCUCAAGCUAACCAAAAGCAUUUAGCUACGAACGCCUGUUCUCACCAUUUUCAGUUGAAUUAAUCUAACUUUCUUUCAUGGCAACUCAUAAGCAGGCCAUGUCCUAUUUGUUUCAUAGUCGAUACAUAAUCAUAUUUCAUGACAGUGUAACGGUUAGCUUUGUUUACAGAAGGAUGAAAGAACACAAUAUGUCUGUCAGGGAAUGCUAUUCUGAUAUGUCAGAUGAGUUAUACAAGAAAGUCAGCGCCAUUAAGGCAAGGAUGCCCCAUGCGGGCUUUAGAAUGGUCAAAGGAAGUCUCAGAGCAAUGGGCCAUUGUGUACAAUGGCGAAGAGUCUUUGCAGCGUGUAGAUGGUGCAGGUAUCAUUGCCAGAAUGAUCCAGCUUCGUUACAUUGCUCGGCAAAAAUACUCUGUUCCUGCACCCGUCUCUCGUCCACAUUGAUACAAAUCAUAAAUUGAUAAGGUACUAAGAUGUAUAAUGUCUCCAUCAAAUCUAAAAAGUUAACUUUUUUUAUUCCUAGAAUUUUCAAUGAUGUAUGAAACUGGAGUUGUUAUUCAACUGGUAAUACAUAAAUAAUGAAGCAGGUUAAUAGGUUAAACAUUUCACUUUUAAUUCCAAUGCUUUUUUAAGAUACAACUGGUAAGUAUAUUAUUUUGUAUACAUAUUGCAUAUUUCCCCAUCACCUAAUGAACAACCACAAUACCAGUCUGGUGUUAAGCUUUCUCUGCUGUAUUGACGUAUCCUGAAAAUGACAUCUGCUGCUUUAGAUUGAACGGUCAUAUCUACAAAAAAAUAAGCUAUUUUCUUUACUUUCAGAGUGCGAGAUGAUCAAGGGGUCAAAUGUAGAUAUUGCCAGAUGUUCACUGUCUGAGGAACAGGCCGUGGAAGCAUUAUUGCUGGGAAAAGUGUCCAUAAGAGGUGUUCCUACCUCGUCUGCGGGCAGAUCUGCAGCAUUUCGCAGAGUUAGAAUAAUCACCCUUUAAGUACAGAGGCAAACCUGACACCUCACCAGCUGUGGCAUAUCGGAAUGCUCCAAACACCUGUGCACAUUGUUUUUGCCUUAGCACUACACAGCUGAUUCAAAUGAUCAAGUCAUCAUCAAGCUUCAAGUGGUUAUAUCAGCUGUGUCGGUGAACCCCUCCCACACCUGAACUGGCUGACUGACACAGAGGGCACAGCAUGAUCAUUGGUGAGAGGUCAAGUCAACAGGAAGAUUAUUAAAAGAGGUAUGUUUUGAUGUGAGAGAGGAAGCCAGUCCCAUCAGCCACCUCACCCGCU
Long non-coding RNA from Salvelinus namaycush (lake trout), 2165 nucleotides. RefSeq lists it as uncharacterized. The transcript has 4 exons. NCBI's taxonomy places the organism in Eukaryota, Metazoa, Chordata, Actinopteri, Salmoniformes, Salmonidae. The record is from RefSeq and is a predicted model, not a curated record.